ACGGCUCCAUUGCGGACCCAGGAGGCCCGGGCAGAAAGGAGAGAGGGGUUAUCCGGGACACAAAGGAGACAGAGGUGAAAUGGGACCACGUGGCUUUCAGGGGGCAACAGGACUUCCAGGCUACAACGGACUGAAGGGUCAGAAAGGUGACCGGGCGGUGGUUGAGAGGACGAGGAGGAGUGUUGGUGUUUAAGGGGGGGUAUGCUUUCAUCUUUCGGGCAUUUUACCCAGGGACCAACUCACCGUCUUUCUCUACAAACUAUCAUUCCAUAUAUGCAGUAGCUGUGUCUUGAGUUACAGAGGCACGUUUAUUCUGAGUGCAAGGCUUACUCGCAGAGCAAACGAUAAUUACCCGCAACACUUUCAGCUGCAGAUUUGGGGACUUUUAUGUUUUAAUACAAAAUUUUCUGUGUGCUUUGGCUUAUAAUAUUCUCUGCGUUAUUUGGUCCAGUCGAAGGAAGCAGAAUCAUAAGAUUUGUAUCUGUUCUGAAGCCUCCUGGUUUGUGAAAAGGAAAAUAUGAUUGUUUUACAACAGGAACGAGAAAUGGUAAUUUAAUCACAUGAAUUAAAACAAUGUUCGUAAAUAAAAAAAAACAAAAAAAAAACUUUGUUACAGAUACUGCCUGACCAAAAUAAUAUUUUAACAUUUUGGAAUAUUUAACUUCAAGGGUUUUUUUUCCUUUACAUGAUAUCUAAGUCUCUGGCAGACACAGCCUUUCUUUAUGCAUGUUGUUUAGAAAUAUGGGAAAUUACACAAUGUGUGGUAACAUUUUUGUAAUAGACUGAUGUCACAGAUAUCGUAUGCACUUAACUUGAUGAUUUUUUUUUGUAUUAUUUUGUAUCCAGUUUGUUUUUUGCUUUUUUUUUGCUUUUAAAUGUACAAGUGUGUAAAUACAGGUUUAAGUCAAAGCUCUCAGUACUGUUUUGAUGUCAUAUAAAGGGUUUUUUUUUUUUUUAAAACACACAGCUCUUGUAAGUACCACGUCUACUUGCUGGAUUGUUCAAUGGUCUUGUUAUUUUUCUUGGUUGAGACAGAGCAGAAAUAGUUCUCACAAUGUAACACAAGCUGUGUAAACUGCUUUGUCGGUGUUCAUUAGUCAAAGAAAAAAACUUCAGGGAAUUUCAGAUUUUUCUAAAUUGUCAGGAAUUGUUCCAUCAGUAAGAACUGCAGUUCUGGCCCAAAUUCCAUGACUGUCUAUCAUGCUGCACGUUGCAUUACAUUACAUUACAUUUAUUUAGCAGACACUUUUAUCCAAAGUGAUGUACAAAAAUGCGUAUCAUGGUCAUUGGAGCAACUACAAAACACAGGCUGGAUAAGGCACAAUACUCGUUUCGUACAGCACGUGGAACCAUGUGAUUAUUCCAGGCAUCAAAAACACCUUUCUCUUAUCAUUCUGUCACUCAAGUCUUUUAUAUGACAUCAAAACAAUAUUAAAGGCUCUUUAUGCCCUGUUCCUGCAUGCAAAACCUGGUUAGAAAUGGGUUUAUUCCACUUCAUGGGAUUAUUAUUAGUUGCUAUUUUUAAAAUCAGUUGUUGUUAGGUGUAAAAUUGUUGCCAAAUUACUGAAAAAAAACUGGAAUAUACCUGAUAUUUUAUGUGGUAGACAAAAAAUGAAAUGUUUUUAAAUGACCGAAAAUGUCUUUUAUAAACAAAAACCCCUUUUGAGUAUACGUGAAAUUAUUGAAAACUAUUGUAAUUAAAUAAAAUAAUUGAAAUGUAUUUUUAAUGAAGGACAGACAUUUUCUUUUGGAAAAUACAGUAGAGAAAUCCAGUUACUUGUUGUGAUGAAUUAAAUUUAUACAUUGGAAUGUGUUUUUUAAAUAAAUGUCCAUUUUUUAAAUCUCUG
Anguilla rostrata (American eel) is the source of this 1847-nucleotide long non-coding RNA. RefSeq lists it as uncharacterized. The record is from RefSeq and is a predicted model, not a curated record. NCBI's taxonomy places the organism in Eukaryota, Metazoa, Chordata, Actinopteri, Anguilliformes, Anguillidae. The transcript is spliced from 3 exons.